AAAGCCUUGCAAACACUAAUUGUUUCUACAUUGGUUCAAAUUAUCAUCUUCCUCCGAAUUGUUUCUUAAACUUUACUUUGAGCAAUUAAGCAGCUUCACGAUAUACUAGGAAUUUUCCCACAUUCAUCGGAUCAGCUAUUCCCAGAGCCUCACCAUUAUAAAGGGAAUUUCUGCAAAUCCAACAGAUCAGCUUUUGCCAGAGUGUUCAUUCUCUCCAAAGAAAGUGCUGAUUUUCUUUUAUUUUUUUAUUAUACACAUUUUUGGUUGAAAUAUAUAUGGCUUCCAUGUGGUUUUGACAUUUGUUCUUCUACUUUUAUAUGUUACCGAGUAGCUUCCAGGGCUGAGAUUUUACUUCCUGUUAUUCUAUUUUAGCCAUAGAUACUUGUUACUACCACUGCCAUAAAUAUUCUAUUUUACUUGCUUUUUGUUAAAUGUGCUUUUUCAAUACUUAAA
Molecule: long non-coding RNA, 453 nt
Organism: Coffea eugenioides
Lineage: Eukaryota; Viridiplantae; Streptophyta; Magnoliopsida; Gentianales; Rubiaceae
Exons: 2
Source: RefSeq, a predicted model, not a curated record